This 213-nucleotide long non-coding RNA is filed under the name Elaeis guineensis (African oil palm). RNAcentral describes it as "long non-coding RNA (EGUI_LNC027260)". The record is from RNAcentral. Lineage: Eukaryota; Viridiplantae; Streptophyta; Magnoliopsida; Arecales; Arecaceae.
UUGUAAACUUUUUAUGUUCUAUUUCUAUCUUUUUUGCUUUAUUUUUCUUAUGGUUUAUCAGUUGUUUAAGUUUUCUACAUAAGAUUCUUUGUUUCUAACGCACUUCAUCCCAUCUCUUAUUGGCAUUGAUAGGCCAAAUCCCUCUAGAAAUGGGAUAGCUUGGCAAGGGUAUUAGAGAAUAUUGUAAAGACCCUAAUGAGGUUUUGGUUAUGA